UAGGGAAUCUUCGGCAAUGGACGGAAGUCUGACCGAGCAACGCCGCGUGAGUGAAGAAGGUUUUCGGAUCGUAAAGCUCUGUUGUAAGAGAAGAACGAGUGUGAGAGUGGAAAGUUCACACUGUGACGGUAUCUUACCAGAAAGGGACGGCUAACUACGUGCCAGCAGCCGCGGUAAUACGUAGGUCCCGAGCGUUGUCCGGAUUUAUUGGGCGUAAAGCGAGCGCAGGCGGUUAGAUAAGUCUGAAGUUAAAGGCUGUGGCUUAACCAUAGUACGCUUUGGAAACUGUUUAACUUGAGUGCAAGAGGGGAGAGUGGAAUUCCAUGUGUAGCGGUGAAAUGCGUAGAUAUAUGGAGGAACACCGGUGGCGAAAGCGGCUCUCUGGUCUGUAACUGACGCUGAGGCUCGAAAGCGUGGGGAGCAAACAGGAUUAGAUACCCUGGUAGUCCACGCCGUAAACGAUGAGUGCUAGGUGUUAGACCCUUUCCGGGGUUUAGUGCCGUAGCUAACGCAUUAAGCACUCCGCCUGGGGAGUACGACCGCAAGGUUG
RNAcentral lists this ribosomal RNA (550 nucleotides) under uncultured bacterium. Its description in RNAcentral is "bacterial SSU rRNA". It matches the Rfam family "Bacterial small subunit ribosomal RNA", at positions 355 to 896 of the family's 1533-position model. The record is from RNAcentral.